GUGCUCACUUCAGCAGUGCAUAUACUAAAACUGGAGUGAUGCAGAGAAGAUUAGCAUGACCCCUGCAUAAGGACGAUGCGCACAUGUGUGAACUGUUCCGCAUUUUU
This is a small nuclear RNA of Heterocephalus glaber (naked mole-rat), 107 nucleotides long. The record is from Ensembl. NCBI's taxonomy places the organism in Eukaryota, Metazoa, Chordata, Mammalia, Rodentia, Bathyergidae.